Long non-coding RNA from Thunnus maccoyii (southern bluefin tuna), 2976 nucleotides. RefSeq lists it as uncharacterized. The transcript has 6 exons. Lineage: Eukaryota; Metazoa; Chordata; Actinopteri; Scombriformes; Scombridae. The record is from RefSeq and is a predicted model, not a curated record.
UUUUUUUUAAAUUAAUAUUGUCAAUAUUCAACCAAUAAGCAACUUUAUCGGUACAGAAUGUCUCUUAACGGUUGCGUCGCUCAACUGAUAAACAACCGUUAAGUUAACGCUAGCUAGCUAACGGUCCUACACCAGAGCUACCUGGACAUGAAAAAUAGCCCGGAGGUUUCACGUUUACUUUAUCGUUGAAAACUCUGGGACAGGGAGCAACUUUUUGGAGCCCGAAAACAAGCAACUGUGUUCAAGAAGGCGGCUACACUUGCACUUGCUCAACGGCGGGUAAAGUCAGCUCCACCGCCACCGGUGUUACACCGUAUUUCGUGACCCAUCAGAUUCUGUGACCUGCAGUGUUUGAAGAAGUAACAGAAUCCGAUAGGUCACCACAGUACAGUACAGUAUAACACCGGCGGGACAGGACAACAAGCGAAGGAACCUGGACAGCAGCGGCCCCAUACAGACAGGAAUGGCCAGAGAGAAGCUACGACGACUACUAAAACAAUUAAUGGUGAUUGGUGGCUUAGUUUCAGCUUGGCUAUCAACUGAAGUAUUCCUGAAUUAUGGGGCGCAGUUGUGGACUUCAAAAUUUCAACAACAACAGUUUAAAAUCAACGGUUAACGGUUUUUAAACGGAUUCUGACCAGCCAAUAAGUUCGAGGCACUUCGGUGACGUCAUAGUUGUACAGUUUGCAUACAAAACUGUUCAACAGAAGCUCUUCUAAAGAUACCUUGUCUUCAGAAUUCAGGUGAACACCUCCAUACUUCACAGCACAUAAGCAGACAAAGCGUGUCUCUGCUCAGCCCAGGCUGUUAAACCUGAAAAAACUGCACUGGGGAGUUUGCAUCAAAACUAAAAGGUAGCCACCCAUUCGUUAUAAGAUGGGAAGGUGGACUCACCAAAGCAGUCUGGGUCUUUGCAUAGUUCAUGUGGGCGUAGAGCAGCACAGCUGUGUCGUUGUGAGACGCCUCCAGUGCAAUGGACAAAGCAUUGCUGCCAUCCUGUAGACAGAAGGGAGGAGGAAAGAGAAAGGGAGAAACCGAAGCAGAGAUAAAAGAAGGGAAGAGGGAGAAAAAUAUCUAUAUUGGACUGACUGACCUGCACACAAUUUGUCCGUUCCACUCUUUGCCCAGUGUAGCUGUAACUUCAGAGAAACCAUAACGCUUCCAAACAAAAGGCCUAAAUAACAUUGGAGGCACUUCCAGUUACUCUUUGCAUUCCCGAUAUGAGCUAUACAUCCAGAAGCUAACCUGACUAGCAUGGUCUAGCUAAAAGACAACAACUGUGGAAACCUCACACAUUAACCUCUAUGUUCUACACAUGCCAAGAUGUAGACCUAAUAGACAGUAUUCAGCUAAAUCAACAGAAAUGUUUUCAUUGAUGGGGUAUACUGAACUAGAAAGUCACAUAGCAAACAGCUUGGGACAAAUCAUGAACCGUUAAACCCCUAGUUAAUAAAAUACAUGCAAUGAGAAUCAGACUGAAAAAACUGGCACUGCACUCCUUUAAAUAUGUAACACCACUGUGCCUUACAGUCACGAUUUGUCAUGCUGAGAGCAGCAUGUCAAAUCAUGACUGACCGCUCCCCCCACCCUGCAAGUCCACCUCUUGGUCCAGCUGUGCUGUGCUGCAGUGAAACACAAUCCAAGAGCAGCCUGCACUGAAUGGCCAACUCAUUAUGGCACAGAUGUGAACAAUCAAAUAUCUCUCUGCCUGGCGGUUCUUCAAGCAUCCAGACCAAUCCAGUGUAAAAUCACUUUAAAACACAAGGCAAGUACAGAUUAACAAAGAAGUAAGAAAUGUCAGAAGCAGCAAUGAGAAGAGUUUCUUCCCAGAGAGAGAUUUCUGCUAGAAAAGUAAAUAAUCUGCGGACAUAAUGGUGGUAAAAAUCUGAACAAUUUGUGAUACAUUUCAAUUGGUUGACAAAAUGAUAAAUCUUGGGUAUGAUGGAUUCUUCAGAGUUUAGAAAUGAUUCCUCAUUGACUUACUUUUUCCACUUUUUUUGUUUUUAGGACAGGACAUUUUUUGUAAACUAACAAUUGCUUCUGACUUGUGCAUGGGUCAUGUGGUGAGAUAUGCAGAGGACUGCUGCCAGAGCCUGCAGGGCAUUGUGUCUGAAUUCUGCAAUUCUGCAGUUGUGGCUUUUUAAUUCAUCUCCUGGGGGCUUGUGUGUAGUGCAGUGAUUAUGUUUCCUGUAAACAACACUGAUUUGAGGGAAGGACAGAGAAAACUAAUCUGACCGUGGCUCUUUAGCUUUCAGCCUGUCUUGCAAACUGAGAAAAAACGAAAGAACAGCAAAAGGUGGUGACAAGAAAAGGAAACUGCAUAGACCCAAAAAAAAAAAAAAAAAUUCCCAUGAGGAGUCGUUUCCUGAGCACAGAUUAAGCUGAAUCCCAGACGUGAACGCACUCAGAUGUUUUCAGCUGUCAGACAUCCAGCAGUUGGCUCAGAGUAAGCAGGCAUUCAGACUGAAAACAGCCCUUCACUAAAAUAACACCGGGAGCUGCGUUGGUGGGCGUGUUGCUUCAGGUACUGAUGAGACAUGAAUACGAUGCAGGAAGUCUGGUUUGAGUUACAGAUCCAUGAUUUCGUAGGUUUUAUCAGACACCAAAACACUGCGGUUUAUAAUACUUAAAGAAAGAAUUUUACAGCUCUGGAAAAUUAUCACGAUGGUAAUUGAUUUAUCUUUUGUUGCAAUGAUUGUGAGGUUAACAGAGUAGAAAUACUCUGUUCAUGUUACAGAAUAAUCCACCAGGAAUCUGUGCUUGCAUGUAUGUGAUUGGCCAAUCCAGCACCUUGCCAUAUGACCCUGAGUUUUUGAGCUCCCUGCACUGGCAACCAUGCACCUCUGGACUGGGCUCCUUCAAAUGAAUGCGGCAACUGUGUUUUUUGCACGCUGGGUUAAUGUUGAUCUGAUUGGGGGGCUAAGUCACUGAGAGUUCCUUUCAAUGAGUGCAGCAGUUAAAUGCCUAAAAUGUAAA